GAUGAACGCUGGCGGCGUGCCUAAUACAUGCAAGUCGAACGCUUGCUUGAGGACUUGUCUUCAAGCGGGAGUGGCGAACGGGUGAGUAAUACAUAAGCAAUCUGCCCAUCGGCCUGGGAUAACAGUUGGAAACGACUGCUAAUACCGGAUAGGUGAUGAAGAGGCAUCUCUUGAUCAUUAAAGUUGGGAUACAACACGGAUGGAUGAGCUUAUGGCGUAUUAGCUAGUAGGUGAGGUAACGGCUCACCUAGGCGAUGAUACGUAGCCGACCUGAGAGGGUGACCGGCCACAUUGGGACUGAGACACGGCCCAAACUCCUACGGGAGGCAGCAGUAGGGAAUUUUCGGCAAUGGGCGAAAGCCUGACCGAGCAACGCCGCGUGAGUGAAGAAGGCCUUCGGGUUGUAAA
Molecule: ribosomal RNA, 408 nt
Filed under: uncultured bacterium
Lineage: Bacteria
Description: bacterial SSU rRNA
Rfam family: Bacterial small subunit ribosomal RNA
Source: RNAcentral